GACGAACGCUGGCGGCGUGGAUUAGGCAUGCAAGUCGAACGGUAUCAUCCUUUCGGGGGUGAGAGAGUGGCGAACUGGUGAGUAACACGUAGGUUAUCUACCCUCAAGACGGGGACAACCCAGGGAAACUUGGGCUAAUACCGGAUGUGAGCAACUUUUAGUUGUUUGAAAGGUGGCGUAAGCUGUCGCUUGGGGAUGAGCCUGCGUCCUAUUAGUUAGUUGGUGAGGUAACGGCUCACCUAGGCAAUGAUAGGUAGGCGGCCUUAACGGGUGGUCGCCCACACUGGGAUUGAGAUACGGCCCAGACUCCUACGGGAGGCAGGCAGUCGAGAAUAGUCUACAAUGGUCGGAAGACUGAUAGUGCGACGCCGCGUGAACGAUGAAUCCCUUCGGGGUGUAAAGUUCUUUUAUAUGUGACGCAGUGCUUCUUAUAUUAACAGUAUGGGGAGAGAGAUAUUAGCAUAUGAAUAAGCAACGGCUAACUCCGUGCCAGCAGCCGCGGUAAACUCGU
Molecule: ribosomal RNA, 511 nt
Filed under: uncultured bacterium
Lineage: Bacteria
Description: bacterial SSU rRNA
Rfam family: Bacterial small subunit ribosomal RNA
Source: RNAcentral